CUGUUCGAGCGUCAUUACUGACCAAUCCCGCAAGGUCUUGGGGUCCGCGGUUCGCUGCGGCCCUUAAAAUCAGUGGCGGCGCUGCCGGUGCUCUCAGCGUAGUAAUACUUCUCGCUCGGGAACCAUGGUGGAUGCUCGCCAGCAAACCCCAAUCUUCAAAGGUUGACCUCGGAUCAGGUAGGGAUACCCGCUGAACUUAA
RNAcentral lists this unclassified non-coding RNA (200 nucleotides) under soil metagenome. RNAcentral describes it as "partial contains internal transcribed spacer 2 and large subunit ribosomal RNA". The record is from RNAcentral.